Molecule: long non-coding RNA, 1284 nt
Filed under: Homo sapiens (human)
Lineage: Eukaryota; Metazoa; Chordata; Mammalia; Primates; Hominidae
Description: HSALNT0078831
Source: RNAcentral
UAGCUCUUGAGUCAACAUUAUGUCAGGUAUAUUCCUGCAGGUAACAACUGCAGUAUUCACUUUCUGGUUUUUGGGUGUAUGGCUAAGAUAGUGUGAUUCUGAAGCCAGAAGUUUGGAGUGUGCUUUCUGAUAACCCAGUUUCCAAAAUGUAGCAAAAAUAAUAGUCUGCUGGUAGAUGUUUUUAUAAUCAUUUUGGAAGCCUAACAUGGAACCUCCUACCCAGUCAUUCCAAUAAUUUGGGAUGAUACAACAAGAAAGCUCUCGUAAGAUGUCAGCUGCUUGAUUUUGGACUUCGCAAACUCUAGAACUUUUCUCUUGCUUGCUCCUGCCAUGUAAGAAGUGCCUUUCGUUUCCGGCCAUGAUUCUGAGGCCUCCCCAGCUGUGUGGAACUAAUAUGGCAGAUAUAACAGCACGUAAUUUCCAAGGCAAGGUCAUAAAAGACAUUGUAGCUUCUGCCUUGUCCCUUCCUCUUGGAUCUCUUGCUAUGGAGUAGCAGCCCCAUGAAGACACCCGUGGUGGAAGAUCACUGAGGACUCCUGCCAACAGCCACCCAGUGACUGAGGCCUCUUGCAGAAAUCCAUAUGAGUGGGCCAGCUGACAAGAAAAUCUUCCAGCUCUAGUCAAGCCUUCAGAACACCAGCUCUUAGUGCCAGGAACUGCCAGGUAAGAAUUCUGACUACACUGAGGCCACCAUGCUCUGAGGAAGUCAAGCCAGAUGGAAAGAUCACAGCAGGAGAACUGGUCAGCAGUCAUACUCUUGAACUCAUCCCAACCCAGACUCCAGACAUGUGAAUUGACAAGUCUUCAGAUGAUUCCAGCACAAAGCCAUUGAGUCACCUCCAGCCAUUGAGUGUCCCCAGCCGAGACACCAGUCACCAUCAAGCAGAGCCAGUAUGCCUGUUAUGCCUGUCCAAAUUCUUGACCCACUAAAUUCUAUGAAAUUAAUAAAUGGUUGUUUAAGUUACUAAAUUUUAAACUUAAUUUGUUAUGCAGUAAUAGGAAUUGUUCCUGUCUGUGAGCAAGUCCUCAUGGACAAUAAACUCAGAUCUGUCUGUGGAAUCUGGGAGAAAAAGAGACUGUUAUCCUUCCCCAUGGUACAGCCCCAGAAAGAUAAAAGUCUCAGAAUAAAACACUGUACAUGCAUAGCUCAUUUUAUUGGGCUUUGUUUAUUGCAUCUCACAAACGUUACGCUUUUUACAGACUGAAGGUUUGUGGCAACCCUGUGUCUAUUGAGCAAGUCUACCAGCACUAUUUUUCCAACAGUAUGUGCUCGCUUUGUGUCUC